UACGAAGGGGGCUAGCGUUGCUCGGAAUUACUGGGCGUAAAGGGCGCGUAGGCGGAUGUUUAAGUCAGAUGUGAAAGCCCCGGGCUCAACCUGGGAAUUGCAUUUGAGACUGCAUUGCUUGGGUGCGGAAGAGGGAAGCGGAAUUUCCGGUGUAGCGGUGAAAUGCGUAGAUAUCGGAAGGAACACCAGUGGCGAAAGCGGCUUCCUGGUCCGACACCGACGUUCAGGCACGAAAGCGUGGGGAGCAAACAGG
This 253-nucleotide ribosomal RNA is filed under the name uncultured bacterium. RNAcentral's name for it is "partial 16S ribosomal RNA". It matches the Rfam family "Bacterial small subunit ribosomal RNA", at positions 524 to 776 of the family's 1533-position model. The record is from RNAcentral.